CCCGGAGAAGGAUUUCUCGCCCCUGGCGCCCAGCGUGGUGCGGGCCCUGAACGACAAACUCUACGAGAAGCGGAAGGUGGCGGCGCUGGAGAUCGAGAAGCCAACCUGCUGGCUGAUAUCUCGCUACUGACAGUGACCAGAGAAACCAGGGCUCAGCUGCUAAAUGCUGGCGGCUUUCAGCCCCGUCUAUAUGCAGCUCAGCUAUGUGCUGCUUUGGUCCCAGCUCCAGUGGUUGCUGAACGGCAUGGGACAGUUUCCUACAAUGGAGGAACUAACAAGGCUGCAAUCCCUUGGAAUCUGAGGCAGGGGAUUAACAAGUACCUUUUGGAAACUUUCGAGAGCCUCUCUCUGGAGGAUUCCCUGCAGGUCUCGAUGUCUAUUGACACCUUGCUUGGCUGUGCAGAUUAGCUUCAAGCGGCAAUGUCCAGCUCACAGAAAACACUACCUGCCUCCCACUUUUCGAUUCCCUACACAAGCCACAGCAACUUACCCGCCUUCUCAUCUGCUUCCUGCUCCCCGUUGAGCACGUCUGGAGUGGAGAAAAGUUCCUGGCUGCCUGCCCCACUGGGCGACCCCACUGGGAGCUCCACAUCCUCUUCUAGCUCCACUUCUUCAUCCACAAUUUCAGCCUCCAGGUUGGUGCGAGAAUUUGUGGCUCAGAACAACACAGCACAGAUCAAGCAUGUCAUCCAGAUCCUGUCACAAGAGUUCGCACUCUCGCAGCACCCUCACAGCAGGAAAGGGGGGCUCAUCGGCCUGGCAGCCUGCUCCAUUGCUCUCGGGAAGGAUUCUGGGCUGUACCUGAAGGAGCUGAUUGAGCCGGUGCUGACGUGCUUUAACGAUGCUGACAGCCGACUGCGGUACUAUGCCUGCGAGGCCCUAUAUAAUAUCGUCAAGGUGGCCAGGGGCUCUGUCCUCCCACACUUCAACGUGCUGUUUGAUGGCCUGAGUAAGCUUGCCGCUGAUCCAGACCCAAAUGUGAAAAGCGGCUCUGAACUACUGGACCGACUUCUCAAGGACAUUGUGACUGAGAGUAACAAGUUUGACCUCGUGGGUUUCAUCCCGCUGCUGCGGGAGAGGAUUUAUUCCAACAACCAGUAUGCCCGGCAGUUCAUCAUAUCCUGGAUCCUGGUGCUAGAGUCAGUGCCUGACAUUAAUCUCUUGGAUUACCUGCCGGAGAUCCUGGAUGGGCUCUUCCAGAUCCUGGGAGACAACAGCAAAGAGAUCCGGAAAAUGUGCGAGGUGGCCCUUGGGGAGUUCCUCAAAGAGAUCAAGAAGAAUCCUUCCAGCGUCAAGUUUGCAGAAAUGGCCAAUAUUCUAGUGAUUCACUGUCAGGCUUCUGAUGAUCUGAUUCAGCUGACAGCCAUGUGCUGGAUGAGGGAAUUCAUCCAACUGGCUGGCCGGGUGAUGCUGCCCUACUCCUCAGGGAUCCUGACUGCCGUUCUGCCGUGCCUAUCCUACGAUGACCGGAAGAAGAGCAUCAAAGAGGUAGCUAAUGUGUGUAACCAGAGCCUGAUGAAGCUGGUCAUCCCAGAAGAUGACGAAACAGAUGAGGGCAAGCAGUCCCUGAGCCUCCAGAUAGAGCCCAAGGAAGAGUCCCUCUCCCAGCAAGAGGUGACUUCCAGCGGUUGCCUGGAGGCCUCCAGUGAUUCCAACCUCAGCAGCGCCAGUGUCUUCAAUGUAAGCAACACUGAGCGGGUCCCGGUGACCCUUAACCUCGAUGGGAUAGUGCAGGUGUUGGACUGUCACCUUCACGACACAGCCAUCGGGAUGAUGACCAGAAUUGCAGUCCUGAAAUGGCUCUAUCACUUGUACAUCAAGACUCCGCGGAAGAUGUUCCGGCAUACAGACAGCCUCUUUCCCAUUUUGCUACGGACAUUGUCGGAUGAGUCAGACGAGGUUAUCCUGAAGGACCUAGAAGUUUUGGCUGAGAUCGCCUCCUCUCCUGCAGGUCAAACGGAAGAUCAGGGGCCAUGUGAUGGCUCCGAUACGCGAUCUGGCCAAUCGGAGUUACACGUUCCCGUCGUCAAAGCCAGCCAGCUGAGCUCCUCUGGUAUGAAAGGCAUGGAGUGCUCCCCCUCCACCCCCACCAUGAACUCCUACUUCUACAAAUUCAUGAUCAACCUCCUCAAGAGAUUCAGCAGUGAGCGGAAGCUGCUGGAGACCAGAGGAGCAUUCAUCAUCAGGCAGCUUUGUCUGCUUCUCAAUGCUGAAAACAUCUUCCACUCCAUGGCAGACAUCCUGCUGCGGGAAGAGGACCUCAAGUUUGCCUCGACUAUGGUCCACACUCUCAACACAAUACUGCUGACUUCCUCCGAGCUCUUCCAGCUGCGAAACCAGCUCAAGGACCUGAAGACCCCGGAGAGUCGUAACCUGUUCUGCUGUCUCUAUCGCUCCUGGUGCCACAACCCUGUGACGACCGUGUCCCUCUGCUUCCUCACCCAGAACUACAAACAUGCUUACGAUCUCAUCCAGAAGUUCGGGGACCUGGAGGUCACAGUGGAUUUCCUCACGGAGGUAGACAAGCUGGUGCAGCUCAUUGAGUGUCCAAUUUUCACGUAUCUGCGCCUGCAGCUGCUGGACGUGAAGAAUAACCCCUACCUGAUCAAGGCUCUGUACGGACUGCUGAUGCUUCUGCCUCAGAGCAGUGCCUUCCAGCUCCUCUCUCACCGGCUGCAGUGCGUACCCAACCCCGAGCUCCUGCAGACCACGCAUUUGGCAUCCGGGAUGGAAAAUUUCACUUGCAGGGUCGCCAUGGAAACAAGCAGAGCCCUGGAGCAGAUUUACACUGAAUGGAGACCGGCGCAGCUCCCCUCAGCUGCCCCAGCUUGUUAGGAACAGCCACCGGGAGCCUACCCAGGGGCUGCCUGCACCAGGCUUGCCUGGUGUGCGCCAGCACCGGGCCUCCUACCCUGGGAGCUGCUUCAGCCCCUUUCACUCUAGCCGGCCGCUAGCGCACACACCAGUGCUAGCAGCCCUGCGAGUCUGGUGGGCUACUGGGCCUGCGCUACUCUGGCCUUUGAGAACCAUCGAUCGUCUUUGCCUGCUCUGCCGUCUCGCCAGCAGUCGCCUGCCUGGGGUGCAUCUGCUGCUCUUGGCCCCUACGCUGCUGGGGAGCAGCACAGGCUACGUGAUCGUAAUGGCCCCUUCUGGCUUUAACUCUACGGACUGGCUGGGACACUGCUUAGGGGGCAGGGACCUAGAAAUCAGCUGUGCAGACUGGUCCCAGCCCAGCAUGCCCGUCUACUGUAUACCCAGCCAGCUCUGCAUCUUGCUGCAGGCAGCGAGCUCUCCAGCUGAGCACACAGCACAGCACGGGAGCUGACCCAGUGACCUAGUGGCUGGGGCCCUCCAACUUGGAGCCAGAGAUCAGGACUUGUCUUGGUGCUUCACUCUUCAGGCUGGCCCAGGGCACCCAGGUUCUGAUCCUUGCUAGACAUCUGUCCACGAUGCUAUGAAAUCUCUGGAGCAGAAUGCAGCUAAGGCUGAAGGUCGCCAACCAUGCAAGACCUCCUGGGAGACGAAAGCUGUGGCAUGCCAGGGUCUCCAGCCUGUGCUGUUAAUUCUUCGCUACCAUAAAACCGAUGCCAGGCAUAAAAUGUCUCAGUGGACAGCACUAAGACCACCCUGGGCUUCAAGAAAGCAACCACCACCAACAUCGACUACCUGGAGCUACUGCAGCACUUUGAGCGAGUCCAGAAC
Molecule: RNA transcript, 3702 nt
Organism: Gopherus flavomarginatus (Mexican gopher tortoise)
Lineage: Eukaryota; Metazoa; Chordata; Testudines; Testudinidae
Gene: VAC14
Gene name: VAC14 component of PIKFYVE complex
Exons: 21
Source: RefSeq, a predicted model, not a curated record